Molecule: ribosomal RNA, 497 nt
Filed under: uncultured bacterium
Lineage: Bacteria
Description: partial 16S ribosomal RNA
Rfam family: Bacterial small subunit ribosomal RNA
Source: RNAcentral
GAUGAACGCUGGCGGCGUACCUAAUACAUGCAAGUCGAGCGAACAGACGAGGAGCUUGCUCCUCUGACGUUAGCGGCGGACGGGUGAGUAACACGUGGAUAACCUACCUAUAAGACUGGGAUAACUUCGGGAAACCGGAGCUAAUACCGGAUAAUAUAUUGAACCGCAUGGUUCAAUAGUGAAAGACGGUUUUGCUGUCACUUAUAGAUGGAUCCGCGCCGCAUUAGCUAGUUGGUAAGGUAACGGCUUACCAAGGCGACGAUGCGUAGCCGACCUGAGAGGGUGAUCGGCCAAACUGGAACUGAGACACGGUACAGACUCCUACGGGAGGCAGCAGUGGGGAAGCUUGCGGAAUGGGCGAAAACCUGACGGAGCAACGCCGAGUGAGUGAUGAAGGUCUUCGGAUCGUAAAACUCUGUUAUUAGGGAAGAACAAAUGUGUAAGUAACUAUGCACGUCUUGACGGUACCUAAUCAGAAAGCCACGGCUAACUACGUG